AUGGCGGGGCAGGCGGCGAGGCCGAACCCCUGCGCCGCGUUCCGCUCGGUCCCGCCGCCGCUGCCCGCGCGCCGCGCCGACGCCGCGACGAGGACCAAGGAUGCACCUUGUCCUACCUCUAAUGGCGAUAGAGGUCUUUCUGGGCAGUGCAAAAAGCCUCCAGAGCAUGCCAUGCAUAAGCCGUCUGGUGGUACAUAUACAAAACCUGAUGCAAGAGUGAAGUUGAUUCCGGCAGAAGACAUCACUUAUGUACGGCAUGGAAAGCCUUUUGGUAGAACAGUUGGCUCAGCAAAACUGCAGAAAAGACACUGCAGACGAAGUGUCACUCCUCCUCCGAGUUCGCGUAAAAUUUCUCUUGCGAGAUCAACACCACUUACUCACAAGUCUACGACACCGUUUACUCCCAAGGCCAUGCCACCGCUUAAUCACAAGGCUUCGGCGCCUCUUACCCACAAGGCCGCGACACCUCUUACUCACAAGCCCAUGACACCACCCCAUCCUGUUGCCUCGUGUCUUUCUCCUAAGAGAGUUGAGACAGCUCACAAGGCCUUGAGACCUCUUAGUCCCAAGCCCACUACACCACCCCUGCCUGUUGCAUCGUGUCUUUCUCCUAAGAGAGUUGAGACAGCUCACAGGGCCUUGGGACCUCUUAGUCCCAAGCCCACAACACCACCCCUGCCUGUUGCAUCGUGUCUUUCUCCUAAGAGAGUUGAGAAAGCUCACAAGGCCUCGAGACCUCUUAGUCCCAAGCCCACUACACCACCCCUGCCUGUUGCAUCUUNNNNNNNNNNNNNNNNNNNNNNNNNNNNNNNNNAGGCCUCGGGACCUCUUAGUCCCAAGCCCAGUACACCACCCCUGCCUGUUGCAUCGUGUCUCUCUCCUAAGAGAGUUGAGACAGCUCACAAGGCCUCGGGACCUCUUAGUCCCAAGCCCACUACACCACCCCUGCCUGUUGCAUCGUGUCUUUCUCCUAAGAGAGUUGAGACAGUUGAAAACAGGCAAUUUUUCUCUCUCAAUCGGCCAUCACCACUCUACAAGUCUGUCCAGAGAGGUGCAUUUCCUCCAUCUGUUUUGCGGAAAGAGUCAGAGAUGAAUCCCAUCAACCCUAGUUCUGUGCAUGUUCCUCCUGCAUAUUCAAGGAAGGUUCCUCUUACUACAAAGGCAGAACCACCUCCUAAGAGUGUCAUCACACUUGACAACAAAAAGUUAUGCUCUAUAAGCAAUCAGGCUGCACUUAAAUGUCAGCCCACAAAAAGAGACGCAGAUCCUAUUGUGGAAAAAGAAACUACUGUGAAGCUUCCAUUACUGAGCCCAACAUCUGUGCUUAGUUCAAGUUCCACCGAGGUAUGUCUAGAUACUGGAAGGUCUUCGUCCAGACUAAAUUUGUUUGAUGGAAAAUCCAAGCUGGACUCGCUGCAGCCUGAAACAAACAUACCUCAAGCAAAAAGCCCAGAGUCUACAAUUCCAACCCCAUGUGCUCAACUUUCCGAUGAUUUGAGAGUUGUUUCCUCCACUAAGAGCCAUGUCGAGAGACAAACGAACCAGGAACCAUCAAUUAGUCGUAACAUGUCUUCAGGUGCCCAAUUAAUUCUACAUACACCACUGUGCAAGGAGACAUACCAACCAGAGGCCUGCUGGAAGGGCAAAUUUGAAAUAACUGGAGAGCUAACACACACUUGUGAUGGACUUGAAGCCUAUUUCCCUUGUGAAAUUUCUAGCAAAGUUUAUGAAGCUUCAAAACAGAUGCCUGAAAUCUUGAAGCUAGAGGCUCUACCUCUUUCUGGCCUGUUACCAAAAAAAUUCAAGAUGGAACCACCUUGUGCUCAAGAUAUUGGACUGUGCUUCAUAAGUUCUUGUCAAAGGCCAAAUAGGGACUCUUACCAUCUCCUGGAAAAUGUUUCUUCACAUAUUGGCUUGCGGACUGACAUCGGCACCGUGGACUUGCUUAUAUUUUCGUCCAAGCUGCUUACGGAAGAUGAUCAAACGAAAGACGGAGAACUUUACCUUUUUGGAGUUUUCCAGAAGCAUACCAGAAAGAGGCAGCACCGAGUCGACAGUCAUACAGAUAUCAGCAAUGCUGGCCUUUCAAAGGGAGACUGUCAUAUAUCUGAGGAUAUUGGCAUGGACCUGGAUAUGAUAGGAGGCAAAUACACAAAAGGUAAAAAUCGUGAGAUUGGCAUGAAACUGGAUGCAACAGAGGUCAAAAAGGUGGAAACGAGCAAACCCAAGGAGGUUGAUGCAAAUGCUGUGCUCAGUAAUGCAGCUCCCGCUGUUUCUUUCUUCACUGGGUCUUGUAGUCCUGACUCCGCAGGGACUACAGAUUCUCUAUGCAAAUCUGCUAGGAGAGCUCCUGCUUGCGGAGACCUUGUUUUGGACCCACCUCCAGGAUUUCCUCUUGAUGUCCCUCCUGGCUUCACAAGAGCUCAUUGUGGGCUUCGUAGAGGAAAAACUGCAGAAUCACAUAUCGACUCUUCUCCCAGCCUUGCUUUCGACACUCCAGGACUGAGACUUGAUGCUCCUCCUGGAUUUACAAAAGCACAUGGUGGGUUACACACCAAUGACAGCAGCAUGCCUUCUCCUGGAUCAGAAAAUGGUGCUUCCACUCUUUUCUCUGAGAAAAAGUCCCCAAUCAAGUUCUCUCUCAACAUUACAAGGCCUCCUGGAUUUGCUAAAUUGGCUGAGGUGAAAAAAGAGCCUGGGUUACCAGCAUUCUUUAAGGCUACGGAGAAAACACCACCAAUUGGAAAAGCAAAUGAAAAGGAUAUCAAGCAUGAUAAGGUGAACGUGGAAGUGGAGUCGGAUGACAGCUCGGAGGAGCGAGAGUUUCCCAAGACCAAGAGGCUCUCAGAUAUCCUGGGUUCUUGUGCCUCUUCGUCUUGGAGGAACAACGCUACUACCUCAGCCGCACCUCGAAACUGCUCCGAAGUUUUCAGGCCUGCGACUGCGAGCAAGUUUGAGGAACAAAAGCAGCAGCAUCGGCAUUGCAGGAAGAGAGGGCAGCAGGAAGCAUCCAAAUCCGAUGCUGCUGUUGAGGCCACCAAAAGGCUCAAGGUCAACGGCCGCAUCGCACUGAACGGAUGUCCUGCCCUUAACUCCAACCAAGCGCAGCCCAAAACUCCACCAACAUAG
Molecule: ribosomal RNA, 3129 nt
Filed under: Triticum aestivum (bread wheat)
Lineage: Eukaryota; Viridiplantae; Streptophyta; Magnoliopsida; Poales; Poaceae
Description: partial small subunit ribosomal RNA
Source: RNAcentral